UACGGAGGAUUCGAGCGUUAUCCGGAUUUAUUGGGUUUAAAGGGUGCGUAGGCUGUCGGAUAAGUUAGAGGUCAAAUGUCGGGGCUUAACCCCGUGCCUGCCUCUGAUACUGUUCGACUGGAGAGCGGAUGCAGCAGGCGGAAUGAGUAGUGUAGCGGUGAAAUGCAUAGAUAUCACGCAGAACGCCGAUUGCGAAGGCAGCUUACCGGCGCUCAACUGACGCUGAGGCACGAAAGUGCGGGUAUCGAACAGG
RNAcentral lists this ribosomal RNA (253 nucleotides) under uncultured bacterium. RNAcentral describes it as "partial 16S ribosomal RNA". It matches the Rfam family "Bacterial small subunit ribosomal RNA", at positions 524 to 776 of the family's 1533-position model. The record is from RNAcentral.